UUGCGUAUGCCCUGUCGAUAAAUUCCUUGGAUCCAUUCAAGAAGAUUCCUUGCCAUUAUGUCCGUUGAAGCAUCAUCAACGUCACGUGUGACUCUCGUACGCUCUGAAUUAAAAUAAAUAAUAAUUAUUCACAUCAACCGAGUGCACAGUCAACUUACUCGAGUUUAAUGAUGUGAAUUUUCCAUUGUGAUCGGUAGCAGCAUCAGCCACCACCAGCAGACUUAUUAAUGCAGCAGCAGCAACAGAGUACAGGAGCGCUGCUAGACACCUCAUGUUCCUGGGAAAAAAAUAAAAAUAAAAAAUAAAAAAACAUAAACAAACAAGCGAAUAAAGGGAGACAUUAUAAUCAUGUGGUGCGUUGUCACGAAUAACGAAUAUUACACAAUACCUCUAGCUCUAAGGCACAACUAUCGAUCAUCGCGCAGAUCAUCUGUGAGAAAGUAGAAAGCGAACAUCAACUAUUAUGAAAUAAUAAUAAAAGGAGCUGAGAGCCUUGAACGUACAGCUUUAAUUUUUCGUGGUAUCAAAUACACCAACUAACGAUAUGUAUAUAAGUAUAAAUAAUAAUAAAAAGUAAUGUCGCUGCAGGCAUUACAUGGGUAUUUAUGCAGACGCUAAAUGUCGUGUACAGAGAGUAGGAUUUUUAUAAUUAUUUUUUUAUAAACAAUGCGACAGUGUCAACAGAUGCGCAUUAUAAAUUGCAGUAGAUACUCUCGAACAGGCUACAGAGGGAAAAUAAAAAUAACAAGGAUGUUGUUGAUAACUUUCACUGUCAAAGGGUACAGCUUUCGUUGCCUGACCUUGAUGUACUGGCUUUAUCUUGGGUAUAAAAAAAAAAUAGCAGUUUCCCUUUGCUAUUAUAUUAUUCAAUAGUUUUAUUCAGCAGAUAUCUCCAGAGUCGGAGUGUGGAUGUGUGCAUGUGGAUUUACGACUCCCACGAGUCGUGCGCACAUGUCCUCAGUCACCGCUGCCUUACUCGUCCUCAUCUCAGUGGUAUCUUGCUGCUGGUAUUGAAGAAUCCGUGGCAAUCUAUAUAGUGUACCCCGCUAAGUAGGAAGAAGUUAUAAGGCAGAAAUGCUGUAGGUUCGCGGAUAAGUUAAGCCAUGGAAUCGUGCGAGCUAUUGCUGAGGUGAAAGGUGAAAGUCGCAUCAGUUAGACUCAUCUGCUCGGCACGAUCUUCUGAUGUCUGUGGUCGUGAAAAUCCUACUAGUGUAGAGUACACUAGGAUAGUGUUGCAUGAUGCAUAUCCACUACCAGCUUCUAUCUUCUCCAGUUACCAGGCUAUCGCGGACGACAUCCGAGAGAAAAUAAAUAAAUUUAAAAAAAGAAAAAAAAAAAUGCCUUUAAUGUUAUUUAUUUUUUUCUUUUAUAUUAAAAUAAUGACAAUGAUGAUUAAAAUUUAUUAUUCAUUUUUCAGGUAUUGUGGUGUUAAUUAUUCCCCAAUUAACACGCCAGCGGUCUGAUGAAGCAAGCUUGCGUAAUCUGCGAAAAAACCGGGUGACUUCUUUGAGUGGGAACUCGAGGCUAUCUCCACCACCUUGCUUUGUACUCAACGCUACUGUUUGCGGCUUUUGGAGCUUGGCAAUAUCUACAGAUGUGGUAAGCUAAGCAGAGUAAACUAAAUUCAAAAGGAGUGUGUUUACCGCAAGAGUAUUUAAUGUGCAAACAUUGUAAGAAUUAUAAAUAUUAUGCUGCGGACAAUAUAACAAAAUACUUAAAAGAGAAGAAAUAAACUUGUAGGCUAUAUUAUAAACGUAUAAUCAUCUUCACGUCUUGGUACUUUGGUUAAUAAACGCUUUCAUAAUGUCAACGCGGUCAGGAUGAAACGACUUGGUUACUUU
Long non-coding RNA from Microplitis mediator, 1841 nucleotides. RefSeq lists it as uncharacterized. The record is from RefSeq and is a predicted model, not a curated record. Lineage: Eukaryota; Metazoa; Arthropoda; Insecta; Hymenoptera; Braconidae. The transcript is spliced from 3 exons.